CAAUUUAUUUUUUGUGGUGCAAAUUAGUGAUCCAAUUUUGUAAAAGAAUUCCUUCGCUAUAUCCUUCGAUUAAAACUGCAUUUUCUACUUUAUUUGUCUAUUGUUUCCUUUCUAUUUUUAGAAAAAUAGACUUUCUAGAUGUAAUUCUAUUUAAUGAUUAGCUUUUUCCCCUUGCAGGUGUGGUUUAUGGCGGGGUUUUCACACAUUUUUUUGUUGAUUUUUAUGAGGUUAUUGGAAUUGAUCUUUUGUCACAAUCUCUAUUGCUGGCUAUAGUUGAACUUGCUGAGGAUAGGCAUUGGAGGGUUCGACUUGCAAUAAUAGAGUACAUACCUUUAUUGGCAAGUCAGUUGGGUGUGGGAUUUUUUGAUGAUAAGCUUGGUGCUCUCUGUAUAUAGUGGUUGUAGGAUAAGUUCAUGAAUUUUUGACGCAGUUCAUCAGUUUCUAUAAUGAAAGUGGUUUCAAGACCCAUCGUUCAAUACCAAAAUAGAGGUAUUUUACAUUGUCUAUUGAAUUUCCCUUUUUCUGCUCUUGAUCGCUGUUGUUGGUUAAUUAUGUUGUUUGGAUUUAUUGUUUGAAUUCUGAAUCCUGAAGGAUUUGUUGUUUGGAUUUGUUGGUUGAUAAUUUUUGUAUUAUUUUUAAGAUUUCAUGUACUGGACACAAUGCUUCCCUUUUGCAAUAGUCAGCCUUCUAUUUGACAUGUAACUUUAUAGAGAUAUGUCCAAUUUUGGAGUUAAUAAUAAUGUAUUUUGGAGUUGAGCCCAUC
Non-coding RNA from Camellia sinensis, 763 nucleotides. NCBI's taxonomy places the organism in Eukaryota, Viridiplantae, Streptophyta, Magnoliopsida, Ericales, Theaceae. The record is from RefSeq and is a predicted model, not a curated record.